GACGAACGCUGGCGGCGUGCUUAACACAUGCAAGUCGAACGAGAAUCUGUGGAAAGAGGAUUCGUCCAAUUGAAGCAGAGGACAGUGGCGGACGGGUGAGUAACGCGUGAGGAACCUGCCUUUCAGAGGGGGACAACAGUUGGAAACGACUGCUAAUACCGCAUGACACAUAGGUGUCGCAUGGCACUUAUGUCAAAGAUUUAUCGCUGAAAGAUGGCCUCGCGUCUGAUUAGCUAGUUGGUAAGGUAACGGCCCACCAAGGCGACGAUCAGUAGCCGGACUGAGAGGUUGAACGGCCACAUUGGGACUGAGAUACGGCCCAGGCGCCUACGGGAGGCAGGAGUGGGGAAUAUUGGGCAAUGGGCGCAAGCCUGACCCAGCAACGCCGCGUGAAGGAAGAAGGCUUUCGGGUUGUAAACUUCUUUUGUCAGGGACGAGUGGAAGACGGUACCUGACGAAUAAGCCACGGCUAACUACGUGCCAGCCGCCGCAGUAA
RNAcentral lists this ribosomal RNA (496 nucleotides) under uncultured bacterium. RNAcentral describes it as "partial 16S ribosomal RNA". It matches the Rfam family "Bacterial small subunit ribosomal RNA", at positions 28 to 523 of the family's 1533-position model. The record is from RNAcentral.